GUGCUCUCUUCGGCAGCACAGACACUAAAAUCGGAAUGAUUAUAGCAAAGAUUAGCAUGGCCCCUGUUCAAGGAUGGCACUCACACUGGUCCAUAUUUUU
Molecule: small nuclear RNA, 100 nt
Organism: Cricetulus griseus (Chinese hamster)
Lineage: Eukaryota; Metazoa; Chordata; Mammalia; Rodentia; Cricetidae
Source: Ensembl